RNAcentral lists this ribosomal RNA (369 nucleotides) under uncultured eukaryote. RNAcentral describes it as "partial 18S ribosomal RNA". It matches the Rfam family "Eukaryotic small subunit ribosomal RNA", at positions 592 to 976 of the family's 1831-position model. The record is from RNAcentral.
CAAUAGCGUAUAUUAAAGUUGUUGCAGUUAAAAAGCUCGUAGUUGGAUUUGUGGGCGUAGCUGUGGUCCAUUUGGUACUAACGGCGACGCCCAUCUUUGGGUUGAACCAGCGUGGCAUUAAGUUGUCGUGUUGGGGGUGCCCAUCAUUUACUGUGAAAAAAUUAGAGUGUUCAAAGCAGGCUUCUGCCGUUGAAUAUAUUAGCAUGGAAUAAUGAGAUAGGACCCUGGUGCUAUUUUGUUGGUUUGCGUUCGGGGUAAUGAUUAAUAGGAACAGUUGGGGGUAUUCGUAUUCCAUUGUCAGAGGUGAAAUUCUUGGAUUUCUGGAAGACGAACUACUGCGAAAGCAUUUACCAAGGAUGUUUUCAUUAA